Non-coding RNA from Kogia breviceps (pygmy sperm whale), 1059 nucleotides. NCBI's taxonomy places the organism in Eukaryota, Metazoa, Chordata, Mammalia, Artiodactyla, Physeteridae. The record is from RefSeq and is a predicted model, not a curated record.
UUCCGGCUGCUCGACUGCCCUGCCGCUGUGCCGCCGGAUUUGGCCGCCUACGCCACCUGCGCCGGAGGAAGUAUUUGCCAUCUGUACGUUGCCUGCACUCUCCUCUUGGUCAAGCCAUUACUGGAAAACUGGUUCACCUUAGUGAACCCAAAAGACACGACUAAGCCAAAGUUCGGAAUAAGGAAGGAUAUAUUCCUUGCAGCAAGUGAGGAAAACAAAGAAUCGUCCCCAAUGCAGUGUCUCUCCAAACAGGAAAAUUGGCACAGAAGGAAUUCAGCAAGAGGCAAUGUGAUAUGGAAGACGUGGAUUAUUUAGAGAGGAUCUCAGUUCUCCGACCAGGGAUUGAACCCAGGCCACGGCAGUAGAAGCCCAGAAUCCUAACCACUAGGCCACCAGGGAACUCCUGGCCAUGUCAUUCUUUUAAAGGUUGUGCCCUGCCCCCUUCCCUCCUAUUUCACUACGACUAGCACUUAAUGAACAAGUAGCCUCAACUACAAUUGCACUAACACCUAGCCUGACAAAGAUGUAGUGACAAUGGAAUGAAAUAACGCAGAAACAUUUUGCACAGUAAAGUAUGGUUCACGUGCUAGUGUUAAUAAAUCCAAGGUCAAGGUUUACAUCCUGCUCUAAACUUUAGCUGUUUGUUGUUUCAUUCUUUGAAACAAGUUAAUGUAGGAUGCUUAGAAAAAGCAGCAGACUGUGGUAGGUACAAAAGACCCCAAAGCACUGAAGAAAUGGUCUUUACCCUCAAGGUUCUACAGUCUAACAGGGAAGGGAGACACCCAGACUGAUCAAACCUAACUUCAGGAUGCCUCAGGGAAGUUUUACAGAGGAAACAAUUUUUAAUCUGGCUUUGAAAUAGUGAAUUUUCCAGAAAGAAAGAAAGGCAUCCCAGACCAAAGAGACUACCACAUAUACAAAUGUGCCCAGCAUAAUGAAAGGGACUUAGCAAACAGUGCCUUUAAUAAAUGUUAGCAGCUAUUAUUAUUGUUACCAUAUUUUAUCAAAAAUAAGCUGCCAGCAAUUAUAAAACAAGCCAUUAUUUUAGGUACAACAUUA